Molecule: ribosomal RNA, 328 nt
Filed under: uncultured bacterium
Lineage: Bacteria
Description: bacterial SSU rRNA
Rfam family: Bacterial small subunit ribosomal RNA
Source: RNAcentral
AGCGUAGGCGGUUAGGUAAGCCCUCCGGGAAAUCUCUCGGCUUAACCGGGAAAGGUCGGAGGGGACUGCCUGGCUAGAGGACGGGAGAGGAGCGCGGAAUUCCCGGUGUAGCGGUGAAAUGCGUAGAGAUCGGGAGGAAGGCCGGUGGCGAAGGCGGCGCUCUGGAACGUUCCUGACGCUGAGGCUCGAAAGCGUGGGGAGCAAACGGGAUUAGAUACCCUGGUAGUCCACGCCCUAAACGAUGGACACUAAGUGUCGGCGGGUUACCGCCGGUGCCGCAGCUAACGCAGUAAGUGUCCCGCCUGGGGAGUACGGCCGCAAGGUUGAA